UCCCCCCACUGACUGAUGGCGCACCUUCACCUCCCUAAGAUCCAUUCUGACCCCUAGCUAGGGGUGAUGCUGCUCUAAAUUGUUCUUGAGAUCUUUGUUGUCGACCUCUACUUAUAUGCAUGGAAUAAUCCUUUUUGAGAUAAUCCGGGUUACUACACUCAUAACAAAACCUGGACCCAUCAACUAUUGAGAAUUUCCUAAAUACCCAGAGGCCACCAUGUCCUAAAAGCCCCUGAUCUGAAACUUGAGAAGACUGCCUUAAGCCAUGAGUAACUCGUUCAUAAUAUCCACCCUCCGACGCCUACAUCGCUGAAUAAAC
RNAcentral lists this long non-coding RNA (319 nucleotides) under Capsicum annuum. RNAcentral describes it as "long non-coding RNA (CANN_LNC004719)". The record is from RNAcentral. Lineage: Eukaryota; Viridiplantae; Streptophyta; Magnoliopsida; Solanales; Solanaceae.